GUCUGCCUACGGGAGGCAGCAGUAGGGAAUAUUGCUCAAUGGGGGAAACCCUGAAGCAGCAACGCCGCGUGGAGGAUGAAGGCUUUCGGAUUGUAAACUCCUUUUGUUAGAGAAGAUAAUGACGGUAUCUAACGAAUAAGCACCGGCUAACUCCGUGCCAGCAGCCGCGGUAAUACGGAGGGUGCAAGCGUUACUCGGAAUCACUGGGCGUAAAGAGCGCGUAGGCGGGAUAGCAAGUCAGAUGUGAAAUCCUAUGGCUUAACCAUAGAACUGCAGUUGAAACUGUUAUUCUAGAGUAUGGGUGG
RNAcentral lists this ribosomal RNA (305 nucleotides) under uncultured bacterium. RNAcentral describes it as "bacterial SSU rRNA". It matches the Rfam family "Bacterial small subunit ribosomal RNA", at positions 334 to 655 of the family's 1533-position model. The record is from RNAcentral.